RNAcentral lists this ribosomal RNA (402 nucleotides) under uncultured Rhodobiaceae bacterium. RNAcentral's name for it is "bacterial SSU rRNA". It matches the Rfam family "Bacterial small subunit ribosomal RNA", at positions 353 to 772 of the family's 1533-position model. Lineage: Bacteria; Pseudomonadati; Pseudomonadota; Alphaproteobacteria; Hyphomicrobiales; Rhodobiaceae. The record is from RNAcentral.
AGUGGGGAAUAUUGGACAAUGGGCGCAAGCCUGAUCCAGCCAUGCCGCGUGGGUGAAGAAGGCCUUAGGGUUGUAAACCCCUUUCAGCGGGGAAGAUAAUGACGGUACCCGCAGAAGAAGUCCCGGCUAACUCCGUGCCAGCAGCCGCGGUAAUACGGAGGGGACUAGCGUUGUUCGGAAUUACUGGGCGUAAAGCGCGCGUAGGCGGAUUUGCAAGUCGGGGGUGAAAUCCCGAGGCUCAACCUCGGAACUGCCUUCGAUACUGCAAAUCUCGAGUCCGGAAGAGGUGAGUGGAAUUCCUAGUGUAGAGGUGAAAUUCGUAGAUAUUAGGAAGAACACCAGUGGCGAAGGCGGCUCACUGGUCCGGUACUGACGCUGAGGCGCGAAAGCGUGGGGAGCAAA